RNAcentral lists this ribosomal RNA (305 nucleotides) under uncultured bacterium. RNAcentral describes it as "bacterial SSU rRNA". It matches the Rfam family "Bacterial small subunit ribosomal RNA", at positions 338 to 640 of the family's 1533-position model. The record is from RNAcentral.
CCUACGGGAGGCAGCAGUGAGGAAUAUUGGUCAAUGGGCUUACGCCUGAACCAGCCAAGUCGCGUGAGGGAAGACGGCUCUAUGAGUUGUAAACUGCUUUUGUACGAGGGUAAACGCAGAUACGUGUAUCUGUCUGAAAGUAUCGUACGAAUAAGGAUCGGCUAACUCCGUGCCAGCAGCCGCGGUAAUACGGAGGAUUCAAGCGUUAUCCGGAUUUAUUGGGUUUAAAGGGUGCGUAGGCGGUCGGAUAAGUUAGAGGUGAAAUCCCGAGGCUCAACUUCGGAAUUGCCUCUGAUACUGUUCGG